Molecule: unclassified non-coding RNA, 240 nt
Filed under: soil metagenome
Description: partial contains 5.8S ribosomal RNA, internal transcribed spacer 2, and large subunit ribosomal RNA
Source: RNAcentral
AACGCACGAGACCUGCGGACCUGCGGAGGGAUCAUUAUUGAAUAAACUUGAUGUGGUUGUAGCUGGCUCUCUCGGGAGUAUGUGCUCGCCCGUCAUCUUUAUCUUUCCACCUGUGCACUUCUUGUAGAUUUGGAUGUUAACUGUCCGAGGCAACUCGGGUUAGGAGGAAUGUCAAUUCAAUUGGCUUUCCUUGUAAUGUCCAAGUCUAUGUUUUCAUAUACUCCAAAGUAUGUAUCAGAA